ACCCUUAGAAGAAACCAACAAAAACUAAAAUACUACAAGAUAUAACCUUCAAAGUUAAAAGUUCUGGCGGUAGCUCGAUCAAACUAGAGGAACCUGCCCGUUAAAUGAUACUCCACGCAAUAUCUUACCUUUUUUCAAAGCCUGUAUACCGUCAUUGUAAAAUAAUCUUUCAAAAGGACAAUUGUUUAAAUAAAUCUACGUUUAAUAUAUUAGAUCAAGGUGCAGCCCAUAAAAAGGCCAGCGGUGGGUUACAAUAACUUAUAGUUAAUCACGAACUAUAAUCUGAACCGAUUUUAUAAAGGCGGAUUUAGUAGUAAUUUUUUUUUAAUACGAAAGAAUGAUAAAUGACCCGAGCUAAGUACAUAUCGCCCGUCGCUUUCACUUAGUGGAAUAAGUCGUAACAUAG
This 406-nucleotide ribosomal RNA is filed under the name Thomassinia aimsae. RNAcentral describes it as "partial small subunit ribosomal RNA". It matches the Rfam family "Microsporidia small subunit ribosomal RNA", at positions 752 to 1279 of the family's 1311-position model. The record is from RNAcentral. Lineage: Eukaryota; Metazoa; Arthropoda; Malacostraca; Decapoda; Callianideidae.